Molecule: long non-coding RNA, 866 nt
Organism: Dermochelys coriacea (leatherback sea turtle)
Lineage: Eukaryota; Metazoa; Chordata; Testudines; Dermochelyidae
Exons: 2
Source: RefSeq, a predicted model, not a curated record
UUGAAUCCAACAUAUAUUCUAUACUAAUACAUUUAUUAAAGUACUAAUUAAAUGCUAAAUGUUAAUUUGUUAACUUGAGACCAUGGGCGGAGACAUUAUGUAACCUUUUGACCAUUGGCUACUGUGUUAUCAUGUCUUGCAGCUAAACCUAUCCGGGGGUGUGGGACUGCCUACCCCGUCACUUUCCCCGCCCAUAGAAAAUCCAUAUAUUCCAUUGUAAUCAAUUGAUAGUGUCUCUGAGCCUAAUAAGCGAGGUGACACUCCGUCAGCGCUGUACGUAAUAAACUCCUAUGCUUGACCUCUACAUGGUGUGGAUUUAUGUCCUUCAGUCUGGGGGCUCGUCCGGGAUACAGGCUUGUGAGCUGAUUGAGGAUCUCAGACUAAAAUCCAAAAAGGAGGUAAACAAGAGGAAGUGGAGGAGGAAGGACUGAAGGGUGACCAGGACAACCAGAGCGACCAUGAGGAAGCUCCUGCUGUAGCUCCUGCUCUCCCUGUGAUGCAUGAGGAAGGACGCAAGUAGUGUGCCAUGUACAGGGUGACACCCUUAGAUGAUGCUGUGGCCCUCUUUGAGGGUCUGUACUUAAUGCAACCAGUGUCCAGAUUAUCUUUAAAGGGGGACAGCUUGAAGGAUCUGUCAACCUCUGUAUCCACCUCAUUAGAUAUAACAAAAUACCUGGGUCAAGAAGUCACCAGCCUGCUAAUAAAUGGUACUAAAAUAAAGGCACAGGAGGAGAGUUGUUGGAGAGCAGGACAAACUUUGGCCAUCACCACACAGGGAAUUGUAACCGAUCUCCUUGAUGGCCGGGUCCACCCAGCCCUUAUGGAAGUAGUGGAACCCUAUCUCCCCAAUACCCCUCCAUGGGCAU